This 616-nucleotide ribosomal RNA is filed under the name uncultured Thelephoraceae. RNAcentral describes it as "eukaryotic LSU rRNA". The stretch from base 190 to 344 matches the Rfam family "5.8S ribosomal RNA". The record is from RNAcentral. Lineage: Eukaryota; Fungi; Basidiomycota; Agaricomycetes; Thelephorales; Thelephoraceae.
CGAGUUGUUGCUGGUCCUCAAACGAGGGCACGUGCACGCUCUGUUCACACAUCCACUCACACCUGUGCACCCUCUGUAGUUCUAUGGUCUGGGAGGCGCACCGUCUUCCUCCUGUGGUUCUACGUCUCUACACACACACCGUAGCAAAGUCUUAUGGAAUGUUUGCCUGCGUUUAACGCAAUACAAUACAACUUUCAGCAACGGAUCUCUUGGCUCUCGCAUCGAUGAAGAACGCAGCGAAAUGCGAUAAGUAAUGUGAAUUGCAGAAUUCAGUGAAUCAUCGAAUCUUUGAACGCACCUUGCGCCCUUUGGCUAUUCCGAAGGGCAUGCCUGUUUGAGUAUCAUGAACACCUCAACUCUCACGGUUCGCCGCGAUGAGCUUGGACUUGGGGGUUUUGCUGGCAUGCAGCCGGCUCCUCUCAAAUGAAUCAGCUUACCAGUCUUUGGUGGCGUCACGGGUGUGAUAACUAUCUACGCUUGUGGGUCGUCUGCCGGGUAACCUUCAGCGAUGGAGGUUUGCUGGAGCUUAUAAAUGUCUCUCCUCGGCGAGGACAAAUUUUGAACGUUCGAUCUCAAAUCAGGUAGGACUACCCGCUGAACUUAAGCAUAUCAAUAA